GCAAUAAUGUGAUUGGCUUUUUUGGGGAAUAAAAAUAGUUUGGUAGUGGAGUAAUAAUGAACCCACUGAACUUUCUGAAUUUCAUCUGAAUUUUCUGUCCCUGUUCAGACAGGAACACAGAUAGAUACGAGCCAUAUCACUGAGCUGGGUCUCUCCUGGUAUGGAAGAUGGGCACAGGGAAGGGACCAGGACAUGGAGGGCUGAGCAAGUGUGUCCACCCCCCCUACAGCACGGCAGCCUGGUCAUCUGCUUCUCCCCAAAUCCACCUGGUGUUCAGCCUGAGUUGUCCUGUGAUUAUUCUUAGUGUACUAAUUUAUAUAAGGUGUGGACCAAGCUGUUUAACCCAAGGUUUUUAGAAACAGGUGCUUGUGGCAGUUUAAGAAUUCCAGGUCUGAGAGUGUGUGCAGGAUGUAUUUGUCAGGUGCUUCAUGCGUAAAGAAUUUUGGCACACCCAAUGUUUAAAUUGGCCACCAGUGCCUUCGUGUUGGGAUUGCCAGCUGCACAGAGAUCUUCACACCAGAGCAUCUUUUAUUUAUGGGUUGGGCUGGUUCUUGUGAAUCAAAAUGAUCAGUUUAUGUUGUGACCUGUGGUAGAUUUAAUUUGCCCUCUAAAUCAAUUAUUCUUGACAUCAGAAGCAGCUUCAUGGUUAAUUAACUUUUCUUUCAUGCUUACAAAAUAAUUUUAUAACGUCAGGUUAAGAUACAGCAGAAGGUUGGAUGCAGGCAGAGUAAAACAGUCCUAGUGUUUCUGCCUGUGUGUCCACAUCUUAAUUCUCUUCGUGAAGUCCAAAUUGACAUUGUUUUCUGAAAGGUUUGCAAAGCAUUACAGCAGUGACAUGCUUUUUCUAGCACAUAUAGUCAUGGAAUAUCAGCACAAGACUUUAACUCCAAUUAAUAGAAGAAUGAGCAACCUGUUGUCUGAAGAAGAUUGUGAACUAAAAAUGACUUAAUGCUAUCAUGCAGAGCAACUUCAGUGCUAUGAAAGACUGCCAUAAUUUCUUUCUAUUGUCUUCCUAUAAUCUUCAGAAUUCUUUUUUUCCUCCUAAAUGAAGUAUUUUUUUUACUGUGUUCAGCAAGAGGGGAAGAUAAACCUUGUAACAGUGUAUGUCUGCAAACCCUCAAACACUUUUUCUUAAAUCUCUCUAUAAAAAAGUAAAUAUUUGACCUAAUUUUUAAGUAGUGUUGAAAAACUUGGCUAAGGGUCAGUGACUCUUGCUUUGUGCUCACUGUACUGAAAUGGCAUAAUGAUCAUGUGUGCUGGUUUCAAUGGAGUUUUUUGUACUUAUCUAUCUUUGCUCUUACAUAUUAACUCUGUAUCUUAGUACUGCAGAUGCAGUCUUGCAAAAAAAAUGGAUUCUACACAGAAGACACAGAAGGCAAAGGGUGGGAGACUGUGGGAUGUCCCACUAAACAGAGUAUAUACUAAUUUAUUUUACUAUUUUGUAUAAGUAGGGUAUUUCGCAUAAAUUAUUUAAUUGCCAUUUUAAUUUAGCCGAAAAAACUUCUCUCGAAGCAUAGUGCCAUCUAAAAUAACAUUUAUUUUUGCUGUUUAAUUAUAACCUUACUGUUAUGGUUUUGCCACAGCUACACUUUAAGGGUGGAGGAAAUAUAUUCUUCAGAAGACAUGAUAUAGCAAUGAUAAUACUGCAAUACAUGUCCUAUACUAUGCUUUCUGAAUUGCCUUAUGAUUUUUCAAUGGCCACUCUUUACAAAGAGCUGUUUCAGGGCUUGCAUUUUCACUUCAGAUCUUCACAAGGAUCACAUGAAAAUUGGAGCAAGUCUGUCUGGUGUUGAGCCAAUGCAAAUAGAUGGUUCAGUGCUCAAAUAUCAGUUUUACAAUUGAUGGGACUUGCAACUAGAACCUUGCAGCAUAUGUUGUCCUUGGGCUAAAAUAAAAUCUCUCUGCUUCUUAUACAGAUAAGCUUCCACGGAAGACUUGCUCUACCAAGUUCAGGGAAAGACAAAAGAAACCAUUACAGAAGUGGAGUGAGCUCCUGCCUAUAGAGUGUCUGUCUUUGGCUGCAGUAUGUGGACAAGACAAAGGCUCCUGAAGUGUUUGUUUUAUCCAGACUGACUUGGAAGGAGGAAAUUGUAACCACAGCCAUUCAUUUAUAUUAAAAAAAAAUACCCUAUUGAAGCAUAAUCAUCUUCAUCAGAACUUGAAUGACCAUACCACUCACAGGUUUUAUGUUCUUAAACUACACGAAAAUUACCAUGUUUCUGCCUGCUUUCAACAUAGGACACAAGGAGAAGAAAGAAUUCAGAUAUUAUACCAUUUCUAGACCCAAAGUAAAACUCUGGCUUUCACAAAUAAGCAUUUCUGCAAAACGAGUUGAGAUGCAUCUGACAGGAAAGACUUAAGAGCACUUUCAAGUUGGAAAGCAGAUUAACACCAACUAUAAAACUAAGUUUGAGCUCAGUAAAUAACAACUUACGUUGCACAAACAGAACUUGAGUUACUACACACAAAGGGCAUUUCGGACCGCUUCCCACAUUCAGCCUGUGGCUGUCAAUAUGCUGCCUGGAGCUAAUGGAUUUUCCCUGCUGCCAGCAAGCGACCUCACAGCACCAAGCCUGCUUGUGUGUACUCAGCACAGCAAUUUGGUUCCAAGGAAUGUUCAGUUUUUUAUCCUCCCAGAAUAUUCCUGUGGAAGAAGAUGAAAAUGUAGUUCAAGGAUGAUAGAAAAAUUGGUCAGAAAAUGAGAGAGUGAUCUUUGUGGCUAAGUCUCCUUCUGGAAAGAAGAGUGUCAUGCCUCCUGAAUAUUCUGACCUAAGAGAGGAGAGUGAAAUGCUGGAUUGCCAAAGAGCUGGAACUUCUGAAGAUGGAGGUUCAAAUUUUAAGUGGAAGGUCAAACAAGUAAUUUAGCUCAUUUUUCUUCCUGAGGAGGGUUACACUGUUCAAGAGGUUUUAGCCUUCUUGAAUUCCAUUGUGUUACUUCUGUGGUGUCUCUCAAACCAGCACAUGGUGUUUCUUGCAUAAUGGUGCUGCCCCUCUAGGUAUGCUGGCCAAAUUUAUGUUUUUCUGCAGCUGCUGGUUUUCUGGUUCUGCAGUUUGUUUUUCAAAUGGUACCUAAUGGAAAAACAAUCCCUGACUUUCUUUUCUUGUAUAUCUUCCCAGUAAUAAGCAGCGUAAGUUAAAAAACCAUACUUCAAGCAGUGUGGACUCAGAGUCACCUA
Molecule: long non-coding RNA, 3176 nt
Organism: Pipra filicauda (Wire-tailed manakin)
Lineage: Eukaryota; Metazoa; Chordata; Aves; Passeriformes; Pipridae
Exons: 4
Source: RefSeq, a predicted model, not a curated record